This 192-nucleotide ribosomal RNA is filed under the name uncultured bacterium. Its description in RNAcentral is "partial 16S ribosomal RNA". It matches the Rfam family "Bacterial small subunit ribosomal RNA", at positions 340 to 524 of the family's 1533-position model. The record is from RNAcentral.
UACGGGAGGCAGCAGUGGGGAAUAUUGGACAAUGGAGGCAACUCUGAUCCAGCAAUUCUGUGUGUGUGAAGAAGGUUUUAGGACUGUAAAGUUCUUUCGGUAUUGAGGAAGGAGUGUAUGUUAAUAGCAUACAUUAUUGACGUUAAAUACAGAAGAAGCACCGGCUAACUCCGUGCCAGCAGCCGCGGUAAU